Molecule: ribosomal RNA, 248 nt
Filed under: uncultured bacterium
Lineage: Bacteria
Description: partial 16S ribosomal RNA
Rfam family: Bacterial small subunit ribosomal RNA
Source: RNAcentral
CGUAUGGCGACCGGCGCACGGGUGAGUAACGCGUAUGCAACCUGCCCGAUACCGGGGUAUAGCCCAUGGAAACGUGGAUUAACACCCCAUAGUACUUUUAUCCUGCCUGGGAUGGGAGUUAAAUGUUCAAGGUAUCGGAUGGGCAUGCGUCCUAUUAGUUAGUUGGCGGGGUAACAGCCCACCAAGACGAUGAUAGGUAGGGGUUCUGAGAGGAAGGUCCCCCACAUUGGAACUGAGACACGGUCCAA